CCUACGGGAGGCAGCAGUGAGGAAUAUUGGUCAAUGGACGAGAGUCUGAACCAGCCAAGUCGCGUGACGGAUGACUGCCCUCUGGGUUGUAAACUUCUUUUAUAUGGGAAUAAAACGUUCCACGUGUGGGAUUUUGUAUGUACCAUAUCAAUAAGGAUCGGCUAACUCCGUGCCAGCAGCCGCGGUAAUACGGAGGAUCCGAGCGUUAUCCGGAUUUCUUGGGUUUAAAGGGAGCGUAGGUGGAUUGUUAAGUCAGUUGUGAAAGUUUGCGGCUCAACCGUAAAAUUGCAGUUGAAACUGGCAGUCUUGAGUACAGUAGAGGUGGGUGGAAUUCGUGGUGUAGCAGUGAAAUGCUUAGAUAUCACGAAGAACUCCGAUUGCGAAGGCAGUUCACUGGACUGCAACUGACACUGAGGCUCGAAAGUGUGGGUAUCAAACAGGAUUAGAUACCCGUGUAGUC
This 460-nucleotide ribosomal RNA is filed under the name uncultured bacterium. RNAcentral describes it as "partial 16S ribosomal RNA". It matches the Rfam family "Bacterial small subunit ribosomal RNA", at positions 338 to 795 of the family's 1533-position model. The record is from RNAcentral.